UUUGAUAACUCUUUAAUGAGCCCUGCGUUUCGGCCGCGGGAGGGAAAUGUUUGUUUCUAUCAAAU
This 65-nucleotide transfer RNA is filed under the name Plagiorchis elegans. Its description in RNAcentral is "tRNA-Arg". Lineage: Eukaryota; Metazoa; Platyhelminthes; Trematoda; Plagiorchiida; Plagiorchiidae. The record is from RNAcentral.